CGACACAGGUGGUCAGGUAGAGAAUACCAAGGCGCUUGAGAGAACUCGGGUGAAGGAACUAGGCAAAAUGGUGCCGUAACUUCGGGAGAAGGCACGCUGAUAUGUAGGUGAGGUCCCUCGCGGAUGGAGCUGAAAUCAGUCGAAGAUACCAGCUGGCUGCAACUGUUUAUUAAAAACACAGCACUGUGCAAACACGAAAGUGGACGUAUACGGUGUGACGCCUGCCCGGU
Molecule: ribosomal RNA, 230 nt
Filed under: Escherichia coli
Lineage: Bacteria; Pseudomonadati; Pseudomonadota; Gammaproteobacteria; Enterobacterales; Enterobacteriaceae
Description: partial 23S ribosomal RNA
Rfam family: Bacterial large subunit ribosomal RNA
Source: RNAcentral